RNAcentral lists this ribosomal RNA (497 nucleotides) under uncultured bacterium. RNAcentral's name for it is "partial 16S ribosomal RNA". It matches the Rfam family "Bacterial small subunit ribosomal RNA", at positions 28 to 507 of the family's 1533-position model. The record is from RNAcentral.
GAUGAACGCUGGCGGCGUGCCUAAUACAUGCAAGUCGAGCGAACAGAUGAGGAGCUUGCUCCUCUGACGUUAGCGGCUGACGGGUGAGUAACACGUGGAUAACCUACCUAUAAGACUGGGAUAACUUCGGGAAACCGGAGCUAAUACCGGAUAAUAUAUUGAACCGCAUGGUUCAAUAGUGAAAGACGGUUUUGCUGUCACUUAUAGAUGGAUCCGCGCCGCAUUAGCUAGUUGGUAAGGUAACGGCUUACCAAGGCAACGAUGCGUAGCCGACCUGAGAGGGUGAUCGGACACACUGGAACUGAGACACGGUCCAGACUCCUAAGGGAGGCAGCAGUAGGGAAUCUUCCGCAAUGGGCGAAAGCCUGACGGAGCAACGCCGCGUGAGUGAUGAAGGUCUUCGGAUCGUAAAACUCUGUUAUUAGGGAAGAACAAAUGUGUAAGUAACUAUGCACGUCUUGACGGUACCUAAUCAGAAAGCCACGGCUAACUACGUG